This 1094-nucleotide long non-coding RNA is filed under the name Coturnix japonica (Japanese quail). RNAcentral describes it as "lncRNA (ENSCJPG00005019726.1)". The record is from RNAcentral. Lineage: Eukaryota; Metazoa; Chordata; Aves; Galliformes; Phasianidae.
AGGAGAUCUACAGCAUGCCUUGCUACUUUAUCUUUCUGAAGGGAGGAAAAAUAUUUUCCUCCUUUUGGAUACUUUCAGUUGCUUAUUUUCUUUUAUUUUAUCUUAUUUUCCCUGGAGCUCUUCACAUCAGUGAUGAUUGAUAUCUAUGUAUUUUAGGUGCAUCAGUCAGCUUUUCAAUCAGCUGUGCGUGAAGCCCGAGCUGACAGCUCUCUGCUAUGACUGGUAUGUGCAAUUGGAUGCUGCUUUGGCUUUCAUUUUUAUUUGGCAAUGAAGAGGUUGUUUUUGGAGACAUGGAAUACCAUCAGGCUGGGACAGACUGCACAGACCACUGCUUGCACGCCCUUGGAGCCUGACUGUGAGAGGAAGAAAACAAAGCUGGUAAACGAGCAUUUCACUCCGAGGAGAAACACGGCUGUGAAGGGCAGAUUUGACUCUGGGUUUCGGCAGGCUGUUCUCCAGCCAUCUUCCAUUCAUGCUCCAGACAUCACUGGGAACAAGAGCUAAACAGUUCCUGGGCUGUUUCAUAACGGAGAAAUGAGCCUCUGUGAGAGCUCUGGUCUCUGUCUUCCAACUGCUUCCUCCAGGACUGCAGUCCUCACCCAGGCUCAUGGUGAGCACCCAACCAACCUUGCUACUUGCCCUCAUUUUCUUUCCUUUCCUUGGUCCGUGCACUAAUGAACAGAGUUACAAACUCAUCACUCUUUACACUACUACAAUAAUGGAGCUUUUAUAUCAUAACACAGAAUGGCCUGGGUUGAAAAGGACGAUGAUAAUCAUUUAGAUUCAGCCCCCCUGUUGUGUGCAAGGUUGCCAACCACUAGAGAAAGAAGAGGUCUGCCAUAUCAGACAAUGCUUUCUACCACGUCCUAAGCCCUUCUGAAGAUGGCUCAGGCACAGCUAACUUCAUGUUCCUCUUUGAGCUGCUCAAGUCCAUUUAUUUUCAUAGAAUUGUAGAGUUUCAGUUGCAAGGGACCUUUAAAGGUCUCCUGGUUUAACUCCUCUGCAAUGAACAGUGAUCCAUGGCAGUUGCUUCCUCUGCCUGAACAGGGCUUCAGCACAGUCCCCAGCGGCCCUUCAUGUGGUGCUGACACAGG